GCCAUGGUGGUGGAAUGGUAGACACCGGGGACUUAAAAUCCCCUGCUAGCAAUAGCGUACGAGUUCGAGUCUCGUUCAUGGCA
This 83-nucleotide transfer RNA is filed under the name Spirochaetales bacterium. Its description in RNAcentral is "tRNA-Leu". It matches the Rfam family "tRNA". From Rfam's summary of the family: Transfer RNA (tRNA) molecules are approximately 80 nucleotides in length. Their secondary structure includes four short double-helical elements and three loops (D, anti-codon, and T loops). The record is from RNAcentral. Lineage: Bacteria; Pseudomonadati; Spirochaetota; Spirochaetia; Spirochaetales.